Molecule: non-coding RNA, 597 nt
Organism: Arachis ipaensis
Lineage: Eukaryota; Viridiplantae; Streptophyta; Magnoliopsida; Fabales; Fabaceae
Source: RefSeq, a predicted model, not a curated record
GGAAUUAUCAUGUAUCUCGACAAGUUAACUUCCCAAGAGGUCAUUAGUUUGGAACUGUCAACUGGAAUUCUCAUACUGUAUAUUUUCAAAGAGGGAAGAUUCAUUAGGAGGGGGAGUCCCAUAGGACCACAGGAAGUUGGGGUUUAUGCUUACACCAAGUGUUAAGUAUUGGUGCAACAGCAGAAGCCAAAUGUGACAAGAAAACCAAUGAAGUGGAACCAAGGAGAAGAAAAAGAAGGAUCUUGGAACAACAACAAGGCCUAUAUUAAUCUCUAAUUGACUUUGAACUUUCGAGUGUUACUAAUUGGUUGUUGUUCCAAUAAGUAGCAAAAUAAAUAAAGAAGGGUAGUGAUGUAACAACUAUAGGGUACCUAUUUAUGAGAUUUGGGUCAUGAUUCAUCAGAUGAGGAUAGUGAUAGAUAUUAGGAUGUAAGAAAUAAAUAAAUAAAUAAAUGGUUAUGCAGCAUUAAGUUCUGUGUAGUCUUAUUGUGAGUGGGGACCAACUUAAAAUAAUAUUAUUAUGGCAUAAUGCCAAACCCAAUGUUAAUCUUAAUGUAUUAAUGUUUGAAUACUAAUAUAAUGUGUAAUAUUUGUUUA